RNAcentral lists this ribosomal RNA (1809 nucleotides) under Triticum aestivum (bread wheat). RNAcentral's name for it is "partial small subunit ribosomal RNA". The record is from RNAcentral. Lineage: Eukaryota; Viridiplantae; Streptophyta; Magnoliopsida; Poales; Poaceae.
AUGCCGGCGGUGAUGUCCGGCGGCACAGCCGGCGUUGACGGCGGCGGUCGAUCCCUCGACUGCCGCAGCUUCUGGAAGGCCGGCGCCAGCGAGACCCCCUCCGCCCCCAUCCGCGAGUUCCACGAUGCGCUGGAGACAGGGGACUUCGACCGCGCCCGCGUGCACCCCAAGUUCCUCCACACCAACGCCACCUCCCACAAGUGGGCGUUCGGAGCUAUAUCUGAACUUCUUGACAAUGCGGUAGAUGAGAUCUGCAAUGGUGCCACAUUCAUAAAAGUGGAUAAAAGCACCAACACGAAAGACAACAGUCCAAUGCUAGUUUUUCAAGACGAUGGAGGAGGAAUGGAUCCCGAAGGGGUGCGCCAAUGCAUGAGUCUAGGAUUCUCAACCAAGAAAUCAAAGACAACCAUUGGCCAGUAUGGAAACGGCUUUAAAACGAGCACAAUGAGACUCGGUGCUGAUGCAAUUGUUUUUACUCGUGCAAUACGUGAAAACAAUGUUACCUUGAGUAUUGGUUUGCUCUCUUACACUUUCCUGAGGAGAACAAUGAAGGAUGACAUAGUUGUCCCCAUGCUCGAUUUUGUAGUCCAAGAUGGCCAAAUAGCACCUUUGGUUUAUGGUUCACAGGGUGAUUGGGAUAGUAGCCUAAAGAUAAUACUUGACUGGUCCCCUUUUUCUUCGAAGGAAGAACUGCUACAGCAGUUCGAGGAUAUGGAUAGUCAUGGAACUAAGGUGCUGAUAUACAAUUUAUGGAUGAAUGACGAUGGCCUUUUAGAACUUGACUUUGAUGAUGAUGAUGAGGACAUAUUGCUUCGGGAUCAAGGUCAAAACAGUGGGGCGUCAACGAAGGUUCAAAAAGAAAUUAUUCAGCAACAUAUAUCUCACAGACUGAGAUUCUCAUUACGUGCAUAUAGCUCCAUCCUUUACCUCAAGAAGUUUGAGAACUUCCAAAUUAUACUAAGAGGAAAGCCUGUUGAACAGAUAAACAUUGCCAAUGAGCUGAAGUUUAAGAAAGUAGUUACUUACAAACCUCAAGUUGCCUAUGAUUCUCAAGUGGUGUCAGUGAGGGUAGAUAUUGGCUUUGCAAAAGAGGCUCCUGUUUUGGGCAUUUUUGGGAUUAAUGUCUACCAUAAAAAUCGACUAAUCAUGCCAUUCUGGAAGGUCCUUCAAGAAGCAUCUAGUAGAGGGAGAAGUGUUAUAGGUGUACUAGAGGCAAAUUUUAUUGAGCCGGCACAUGACAAGCAAGAUUUUGAGAGGACUCCACUGUUCAUUAGGCUGGAAACAAAACUGAAACAAAUUAUCGUUGAUUAUUGGAAAGAAAAGUGUCAUCUAAUAGGUUACCAGCCAAUCGAUCCGAAAUUGAGAUCCCAGUAUAAGGCUGCUCUUAAAGAUUCGGGCGGCCCUGGUGUGAAGAUUCGGCAUGAAGCUUCCACUGCUCAGAAGACUGGAGGGCACCUCUCAAAUUUGCUCCCACAGACAUAUGAUGAUGAAGCAGCUUUUAGACUGACAGCUAACAGGGCAGGUUCUGCUUUGCAUUCGUCUGGCCAAGGUAGUAUGGACUCAGCAGGCUUGGAAGAGGAUCUGGUAGAUAUUGGCUCUCUUGGUGUACUUGAUCCCAAUUGCAAUGAGAAGUUGAGUGAAGAAAAUUUGGUUCUGUUCACAAGGCGUGAAGAUCUUCGGCAACGAGAUACACAGUUGAAGCAGACGAUUGGCGAGCUGGAGCAUGAACUAGAGGAAACAAGAAGGAAGUGCUCUCAGCUCGCAGCUGAGCUGCAGUUGCGGAGGAGCCAGCAACAACAUUACAUGUGA